Molecule: ribosomal RNA, 188 nt
Filed under: uncultured bacterium
Lineage: Bacteria
Description: partial 16S ribosomal RNA
Rfam family: Bacterial small subunit ribosomal RNA
Source: RNAcentral
CUGAAACCCGCCUCCAUGAAGUUGGAUUCGCUAGUAAUCGCGCAUCAGCCAUGGCGCGGUGAAUACGUUCCCGGGCCUUGUACACACCGCCCGUCAAGCCAUGGGAGCCGGGGGUGCCUGAAGUUCGUGACCGCAAGGAGCGACCUAGGGCAAAACUGGUGACUGGGGCUAAGUCGUAACAAGGUAUC